This 484-nucleotide ribosomal RNA is filed under the name uncultured bacterium. Its description in RNAcentral is "partial 16S ribosomal RNA". It matches the Rfam family "Bacterial small subunit ribosomal RNA", at positions 30 to 507 of the family's 1533-position model. The record is from RNAcentral.
AUUGAACGCUGGCGGCAGGCCUAACACAUGCAAGUCGAGCGGAUGAAGGGAGCUUGCUCCUGGAUUCAGCGGCGGACGGGUGAGUAAUGCCUAGGAAUCUGCCUGGUAGUGGGGGAUAACGUCCGGAAACGGGCGCUAAUACCGCAUACGUCCUGAGGGAGAAAGUGGGGGAUCUUCGGACCUCACGCCUUCAGAUGAGCCUAGGUCGGAUUAGCUAGUUGGUGGGGUAAAGGCCUACCAAGGCGAGUAUCCGUAACUGGGACGAGAGGGUGAUCAGUUACACGGUAAGAGAGAAUGGGCACAGACUCUUACGGGAGGCCACAGUGGGGAAUAUUGGGCGAGGGGCGAAAGCGUGAUCCAGCACUGCCGGGUGUGUCAAGAACGUCUUAGGAUUGUAAAGCACUGAAGGUUGGGAGGAAGGGAAGUAAGUUAAUACCUUGCUGUUUUGACGUUACCAACAGAAUAAGCACCGGCUAACUUCGUG